GGUUAAGCGACUAAGCGUACACGGUGGAUGCCCUGGCAGUCAGAGGCGAUGAAGGACGUGCUAAUCUGCGAAAAGCGACGGCGAGGUGAUAUGAACCUUUGACCCGUCGAUGUCCGAAUGGGGAAACCCAGUGCAAUCCGUUGCACUAUCGUUAACUGAAUACAUAGGUUAACGAGGCGAACCGGGGGAACUGAAACAUCUAAGUACCCCGAGGAAAAGAAAUCAACCGAGAUUCCCCCAGUAGCGGCGAGCGAACGGGGAGCAGCCCGGAGUCUGAAUCAGCUUGUGUGUUAGUGGAAGCGUCUGGAAAGUCGCACGGUACAGGGUGACAGUCCCGUACACGAAAAUGCACAGGUUGUGAACUCGAAGAGUAGGGCGGGACACGUGGUAUCCUGUCUGAAUAUGGGGGGACCAUCCUCCAAGGCUAAAUACUCCUGACUGACCGAUAGUGAACCAGUACCGUGAGGGAAAGGCGAAAAGAACCCCGGCGAGGGGAGUGAAAAAGAACCUGAAACCGUGUACGUACAAGCAGUGGGAGCACCUUCGGGUGUGACUGCGUACCUUUUGUAUAAUGGGUCAGCGACUUAUAUUCUGUAGCAAGGUUAACCGUAUAGGGGAGCCGCAGGGAAACCGAGUCUUAACUGGGCGUUAAGUUGCAGGGUAUAGACCCGAAACCCGGUGAUCUAGCCAUGGGCAGGUUGAAGGUUGGGUAACACUAACUGGAGGACCGAACCGACUAAUGUUGAAAAAUUAGCGGAUGACCUGUGGCUGGGGGUGAAAGGCCAAUCAAACCGGGAGAUAGCUGGUUCUCCCCGAAAGCUAUUUAGGUAGCGCCUCGUGAACUCAUCUUCGGGGGUAGAGCACUGUUUCGGCUAGGGGGCCAUCCCGGCUUACCAACCCGAUGCAAACUACGAAUACCGAAGAAUGUUAUCACGGGAGACACACGGCGGGUGCUAACGUCCGUCGUGAAGAGGGAAACAACCCAGACCGCCAGCUAAGGUCCCAAAGUCAUGGUUAAGUGGGAAACGAUGUGGGAAGGCACAGACAGCCAGGAUGUUGGCUUAGAAGCAGCCAUCAUUUAAAGAAAGCGUAAUAGCUCACUGGUCGAGUCGGCCUGCGCGGAAGAUGUAACGGGGCUAAACCAUGCACCGAAGCUGCGGCAGCGACACUAUGUGUUGUUGGGUAGGGGAGCGUUCUGUAAGCCGUUGAAGGUGUGCUGUGAGGCAUGCUGGAGGUAUCAGAAGUGCGAAUGCUGACAUAAGUAACGAUAAAGCGGGUGAAAAGCCCGCUCGCCGGAAGACCAAGGGUUCCUGUCCAACGUUAAUCGGGGCAGGGUGAGUCGACCCCUAAGGCGAGGCCGAAAGGCGUAGUCGAUGGGAAACAGGUUAAUAUUCCUGUACUUGGUGUUACUGCGAAGGGGGGACGGAGAAGGCUAUGUCAGCCGGGCGACGGUUGUCCCGGUUUAAGCGUGUAGGUGUGUGUUCCAGGCAAAUCCGGUUCACUUUAACACUGAGGCGUGAUGACGAGGCACUACGGUGCUGAAGUGAUAAAUGCCCUGCUUCCAGGAAAAGCCUCUAAGCAUCAGGUAACACGAAAUCGUACCCCAAACCGACACAGGUGGUCAGGUAGAGAAUACCAAGGCGCUUGAGAGAACUCGGGUGAAGGAACUAGGCAAAAUGGUGCCGUAACUUCGGGAGAAGGCACGCUGAUAUGUAGGUGAAGCCCCUGCGGGCGGAGCUGAAAUCAGUCGAAGAUACCAGCUGGCUGCAACUGUUUAUUAAAAACACAGCACUGUGCAAACACGAAAGUGGACGUAUACGGUGUGACGCCUGCCCGGUGCCGGAAGGUUAAUUGAUGGGGUUAGCGGCAACGCGAAGCUCUUGAUCGAAGCCCCGGUAAACGGCGGCCGUAACUAUAACGGUCCUAAGGUAGCGAAAUUCCUUGUCGGGUAAGUUCCGACCUGCACGAAUGGCGUAAUGAUGGCCAGGCUGUCUCCACCCGAGACUCAGUGAAAUUGAACUCGCUGUGAAGAUGCAGUGUACCCGCGGCAAGACGGAAAGACCCCGUGAACCUUUACUAUAGCUUGACACUGAACACUGGUCCUUGAUGUGUAGGAUAGGUGGGAGGCUUUGAAGCGUGGACGCCAGUCUGCGUGGAGCCGUCCUUGAAAUACCACCCUUUAAUGGCUGGUGUUCUAACGUGGACCCGUAAUCCGGGUUGCGGACAGUGUCUGGUGGGUAGUUUGACUGGGGCGGUCUCCUCCCAAAGAGUAACGGAGGAGCACGAAGGUUAGCUAAUCCUGGUCGGACAUCAGGAGGUUAGUGCAAUGGCAUAAGCUAGCUUGACUGCGAGAGUGACGGCUCGAGCAGGUGCGAAAGCAGGUCAUAGUGAUCCGGUGGUUCUGAAUGGAAGGGCCAUCGCUCAACGGAUAAAAGGUACUCCGGGGAUAACAGGCUGAUACCGCCCAAGAGUUCAUAUCGACGGCGGUGUUUGGCACCUCGAUGUCGGCUCAUCACAUCCUGGGGCUGAAGUAGGUCCCAAGGGUAUGGCUGUUCGCCAUUUAAAGUGGUACGCGAGCUGGGUUUAGAACGUCGUGAGACAGUUCGGUCCCUAUCUGCCGUGGGCGCUGGAGAAUUGAGGGGGGCUGCUCCUAGUACGAGAGGACCGGAGUGGACGCAUCACUGGUGUUCGGGUUGUCAUGCCAAUGGCACUGCCCGGUAGCUAAAUGCGGAAGAGAUAAGUGCUGAAAGCAUCUAAGCACGAAACUUGCCCCGAGAUGAGUUCUCCCUGAGACUUUAAGUCUCCUGAAGGAACGUUGAAGACGACGACGUUGAUAGGCCGGGUGUGUAAGCGCAGCGAUGCGUUGAGCUAACCGGUACUAAUGAACCGUGAGGCUUAACCUU
Molecule: ribosomal RNA, 2903 nt
Filed under: Enterobacter cloacae complex sp. I1
Lineage: Bacteria; Pseudomonadati; Pseudomonadota; Gammaproteobacteria; Enterobacterales; Enterobacteriaceae
Description: 23S ribosomal RNA
Rfam family: Bacterial large subunit ribosomal RNA
Source: RNAcentral